GAUGAACGCUGGCGGCGUGCUUAACACAUGCAAGUCGAACGAAGCACUUUAAUCGAUUUCUUCGGAUUGAAAUUUUAGUGACUGAGUGGCGGACGGGUGAGUAACGCGUGGGUAACCUGCCUCACACAGGGGAAUAACAGUUGGAAACAGCUGCUAAUACCGCAUAAUGCAACGAAAUCGCAUGACUUUGUUGCCAAAGAUUUAUCGCUCUGAGAUGGCCUCGCGUCUGAUUAGCUAGUUGGCGGGGUAACGGCCCACCAAGGCGACGAUCAGUAGCCGGACUGAGAGGUUGGCCGGCCACAUUGGGACUGAGACACGGCCCAG
Molecule: ribosomal RNA, 324 nt
Filed under: uncultured bacterium
Lineage: Bacteria
Description: bacterial SSU rRNA
Rfam family: Bacterial small subunit ribosomal RNA
Source: RNAcentral